GCUGCAGUCACUGGCAGCCGCAGCAGCGUCAGCGGCAGUUCUAGUGGUGGUUGGUAGUGUAGUAGUGCAGGCUGUCGUGAGCCGGUCGUAGCAUUAGCUGCCGUUCUUGCAAGGAAAAGCGCAUUGUUCUGCCAAGCCUCCGGCAGGUGCAGUGGCGGCCAUAGAACUAGCCCGCCCAGCCGCCCAGCUGCACUCUGGCGUGGUGCACGCUGUGCUGAUUGGCGGCGAUCAUCACCAUAGUUGUCGUCGUUGUUGUCGUCGUCGUCGCAGCUGCCGUCGUCGUCGUCGUCGUUAUUGCCGCGCUAUUCUUCUUCCAAUAAAGCAGCGGUGUGGAAUACUGCUUUUGGGCGCUGGGCGCGCCGUGUAUUUGGGCAGCCAACAAACAGGCGCAGACACUACCAGCGGACGUACGACGGACGACGAGCAAUGGGUCAAUCGGCCAUCGACUCGAAUCGCUGUGCAUAUCGGCUGUACUCUGCCUACGCUAUUGUGGCCGAUUCGCGAAGCUAGGCAAACCUAGCCCAAAACAAGUAGGCCCCUGGAAAGUGCCUACAAAGAUCGUCAGGUGCAAUUCACAGUCGACACCACCAAAGCGUUUCUGGAUCACCACCAAACGAUCCGACGUCCUUUGUCCACUAGAAGUAUUGCAAACCUUCCGGAACAAGUUGGUCGUGAUAAUCCGAAUCGGAUUUGAGUAGAGCCUAGUCUAUACUUGUUGGAUAGAUGCGCGGAUGGCAGCUUGAUACACCACCCUUACCAAUACUAGCUCAAAUUGUUCAGACGUCUUAAGUAAACGUCGCGUGAUAGGCAAAAGUGUGAUCGUGAGGUGCUUCAUUUUAAGGAUAGCGUAUGCCGCAUCGUGUCGUUUGUGUCGUGUGUCGAGUUGUGAGCGGAAAUCAUACGGAGACUCAUCUACACUCAAUAAAAAUAACUGGGAAUGCACGGAGAUUUUAAGCUUCCCUUAAUCAUAUAACCGAGAAGAGGCGCCAGGCUACGCAAAAAGAGAAAGGAACGCUUGGAAACUUUGACGACAACACCGCCCUGAAGUAGAUUGAAGUCUCGUAGGCCGGUAGGAGGCACAACAUUUUCAAAGGCUCUGAAUGAAAUUUCGGGAGACUUCGACCAGCGCCUAGCAGCGUACAGGCAAAUGCGGAAAGCACAGCAUGGCUUCCUGUUUGCUGCAAGCCAGCACCCGCCGCCAACCAGGCGAGUAGGAAAGCUUGAAGCGAACUCCCGUCCCGCAUAAGCUGGUUACGUCUUAUAGAGGUAACUCAAAAAACCACUCCAGGGUCAUUUAAUAACGAUUUUUAGCGGAUCAAUCAGAAAGAACUUAGGAAAGCAAUCGAAAUAGCAGGCUAACACGAUGAUGUCUGAAACAACAGUGACAUCAAACGUGCUAAUGUAAAUUUAGAUCGUAAAGGAAAUCGUCUCGACGACUACAACACGAUAUCGUCUAUAGAGUUUUCCAUAUAGUUCGACCGAAUUCGGCAAAAGUAAGAACUUUAAGAGUCAGUAUCGACGCUACAGUCCGGUUGUUGAAGAGUGGGUGUAGAUAUUUUCGCCAUCACCUAAAUGUGACACUGCUCGUUUGUCGAGAGCGCUGUCAGAGUACGGCGGUAGCCAAUGCCAGUGUAAAUGCGAGUACCAUAGCAAACCUCAUGCUGAAGACGGAGCCGCGUACGAGAAGUGCCGAAGGGGCCGUUAGUUGCAAUUACUCGACUGCACUGACAAAGAUCGCUUGGUCUCAAGCAUCGUUAUCUUAGCGGACGGGCUUUUUGAGCCAGGUUAAAUUUACUCUGCUCAGCUUUAUCUGCCAAGACAAGUGGAAUGGAAUAGCUUAAGAAGAUCUCCUUUAGAAAGCGUAGAGUUCAAUAGAGAAAAUUAAGUGUUUGUAGAUGAUGAUGAUGAUGAUGAUGAUAAUGAUGAUGAUGAUGAGGGUCUAAACGGUUGAAAAACGGACGGAGAUGGUUUUUGACGUUUUCGUUGUGUGAGGACAUAUUAAAGUCUCGCUUAUUGAUGCCAAGCGAGUGGAUUCUGAUUCAUUGUUGUUAGCAAUAAUGGUGAUGGUGUAUAUAUUUGUGCUUCGUAAGUCUGUUGCAAGCUUGAAGAAGAGUUUGGUUUCAAAGUAAGGCAGGCUGAAUUUAAGCCGUGAUUAGUCGGUGGCGGGAACACGAAGAACACGAACUUUCGCUAACUAAGGAACAUUCUAAUUCGGCUGGUUGAGCAGGAGCAGAAUCCAGGUCCGACCACAGCCCCAGCGGUCUGAAGGUUGAAGGCCUACAGCGUUAUAGAGAAAGCCUGUAGGUUUACGGAACUACGAGCAGGAUUAGCGCAGGCUCGUCGUUCUGAUUAUUACUACUAUUAUUACUAGUAUUAGUGCUAGUUGGUGCAGUCGCAAUUGUGUUGUUCUUGGCCACUGGCAGACGGUCGUCAUUACUAGUCUGUGUUGUGUGAAUAGUGGUAAAUCUGAUUCAGUUUAAUUGUGGUCAGUUCUAUUUAGUGCAGUGAGUGAGCUAGCGACCGAGCUGGAUCGCUGCUCCAACCAGCUCGGCCCAAUGAUGAACUAUCCGGUGUCCGAGAUCAAAUACGAUAAUGACUACAGCCCUGGGCCAACAGUACCCGGCGCGGCAAUGGCCGGCAUGCCCAGCGUGCCUGGCGGGCUCGCCUGCCACGCUGCCGCUAUUGGUCACGGCGGCCCGUACGAAUAUUACAGCCAGGGUUACUACCCACAAGUGUACGACGUUAAAUACGACGUGGCCUACCCUACACCACCGGGACACAAUGGAAGCCCUAUGCCGCCGUACUGGACUAGCGGGCUUGACCAUAUUGCAGCGUCCUCACCUUCAACACCCGUCGUGUCACCUGGGCAAAACGUCUCUCCUGCGCCAACGGUGUCCCCACUGAGUCGCGACUACGUUUCAGGGGUCACAUCCCCAGAGACCUCACCCACUCCGCCCAUGGCUUCGAGCCGGGGGACACCCGACUCGGAACAUCCCGUAAUUUAUCCCUGGAUGAAGAAGGCACACAGUGGACAGUCUGCGCAAGACUCUCGUUCCGUUGAUGACUGGACGGGAGACCCGUAUCCGGAUCCACAGAUGCGGGGCUUUGCCUGUGGAGCAGCAGCCGAUCAUGGAGCCUUCGGCAACAUCAUGGAACCCAAGAGACAACGGACCGCCUACACCCGCCAUCAGAUACUCGAAUUAGAGAAAGAAUUUCAUUUCAACAGAUAUCUAACGAGACGACGCAGGAUCGAGAUCGCGCAUAGUCUGUGCCUGACCGAACGCCAGAUAAAAAUCUGGUUUCAGAAUCGGAGGAUGAAAUGGAAAAAGGACAAUAAACUGCCAAAUACUAAAAAUGUUAAGAAGAAGCAAAAUCAGCAGAACAGCAGCCAAAGUAACAGUAACAAUGGACAAGCGAACUCUCAGUCGCAGGCGAACAAUCAACCUCGGCCGGGGCAGACGGUGACGGUGCCUUCUGGACCAGGACACGUUGUUUUGGCAGAAGGGCCUGGACCGGGCUCACAGCACCCGGGUCUACUCAACCCAUCAGGGACACCUCCGUUGGCCGCGUUAACGGGUCCUGUUGGCGCUGGAACACCUGGCCUUCCUCCAGGACUAUCUGCCGCCGGCCUCUCCGGUGGCUUACCAGGCGGCCUGUCGGGGGGUCUGCCCUCUGGAUUGGGUCCAGGGGGACCGGCGCCAUACCUCUACCCGCCUUACCCAGGUGCUGCGCCACCACAACAUCUACAACCAGGCACCCCACAGGCCACUCGGCCUAGUGAGUACGGACACCCACCCCCCGAUCACCUUCAGCCGCUUGCCGCCGAGUCGUGUGCGCGCUGACGAAAUGGUCAUUGCAGCAAACGACAGCUGGCCGAUGUGGGUGGCACAGAUGAGUCCUGAUAGGACCAGAAGUGACUGGGUCCUCGUUGAUUAGGCCUGCAGUAUGCGCGGCACAACACUCUGAGACAGAGUAAAAAUAAAGAGCGAUUGUAAAAAAGGAAAUUAAGAAAAAUACAGAAAAACUGGAGCAACUAGCUGUAACAUGUUGCUUAUGGUACGAAGUAUUUAGUGCAACAAUAACAUGAACAACUGUUAUGGCACAUGAGGAGCCAGUCAGGUCAACCAGAGAGCGGUUCGUCCCAAAAAGGCCCCCGCCCGCCUUACGGCUGAAUUCAUUAAUCUCUCCCCGUGGCACUUUCUCCGAUCAACGGUCGUAUCACCAUUGUAGUGUGGGGCGUUUCAACAGCUGAACAUCAACAGCAAUUGCGGCAGACAUGUCUGAUUUCUAAGCCCACGUCGUCUCACCUCAACGAGUACGGACUCACACAGCUGUAAAUACUACAACUUAGAGUUAUAAGAAGAAUAAUAAGCUAGGAAUCACUGGAAAAAUCCAUUUUCAACAAAAAUGACUGCUCUUCAUCAUAUUUCGUCAUGGGAACACAAAUAAAGGCAAAUAUUAAGAUCAUCAUCAUCAUCAGAAUAUGACAACAAAAGGGAACCGACGUGUUGCGUCAUGAUAGCGCCGACUGUGGCAAUGCAGACCAGACGCGCACAAGGUUAUACGCGAUCUACAGCAGUUGAGAUCAUUGGACAGCAAGGAAUACAUGUGGAAUAAUAAAGACUAAUGCAUAAAGGGAGGAAGUGACAUGAAAAUGGACACGAUCCUUCGAGCCGGCCUAUGUUAGGCUCUGAGCGAUGAAUAGAAUUUUACAAAUGUGCAAAUACUCUCAUUAGAGAGAAACAACAAGGAGGUCCUAGAGCUUCUUUUCAUAACCUGUUUUCGGAGAAGAACAGUUAAGCAAUGCUCUCCACAAUUUAAUAAGCGGCUAAAAAGCGGUAAGAAGGAUAGGAAAAUUCAUUUUUGCCAAGGGAAAGUACCCCCUAAACCCAAAGAGGCCGCAAAUUCUCACCGAACACUGUAGCGGAACUCGAGGGACUGAUGAGUAGCCGGCUGGGCUGGCCUUGUUGAAACGAUUGGAUCGAGGAGUGAUGGCUCGCCAAUAAGGUAAUGACUAAGUGGCUGAAGUGACGAUACCCUUGCAUUAUCCUAAUACGAAUUUAGGUCUGCGUUAGUGUUUUUGCUCACGGUUCGUACGCGACUAGGAGCAUUAAAAAGGAGGUUUGCCGGUGGCGUCUCCUCCGCUGUGACUUGAGCCCGCUGGCCCGUCGAAAGCCAACAGCUAUUGUCGACGAUUAACCGAGAGUAAAAUCUUCAGCCACGACUGAAUUAUGGCUGUUAGUGAAAUUUUUGAGGAGUGAAAAUCAUCGACGCUGCAAAGCAGACAACACAGAGGUAGACUUGAACAGAGGUCAAUUAGUUGCUGAACCCGUACUCAACAACGAUCUGUGCCAUCAAGCGCGGACGACGCCUCAGUUGCUCUCACUUUACUUUUGUUCUGCGAGCGCCAUUCCGAAAUGUCCGGAGAGUAUAGCAGAACAGAGAAAUCAAGAGAUUAUUAUAACAACAAUAAUACUGAUAACAACAAUACAGAUAGAUGGAUAGAUAGAUAGAUAGAUAGAUACAUAGAUAGAUACAUAGAUAGAUAGAGAGAUAGAUAGAUAGAUAGAUAGAUAGAUAGACGUGAUGCGAGUGAAAUACACAGAAACAGGAAGGCAUGUUGUAUCUGUCCUACCUCGCGCGACCGCCAACGGUAAUUGAACUGUAAAUCUGUGCUAUGUCAGUAGUGUACAUAAUAUUGAUAAGUAUCAUGAUAAAGAAUCAUAUAAUUCUACUAUGACAUUAAUACUAAGAAUAUCAUUAAAAGGAACGACGAUGCUGAUAGUGAAGUAAUAAGGAAGAAAAUAGUAAUAAAAGUAAGAAGGAAUAUUAGAAAUAAGAUAAUAAUUGCUGCGCUAAAAGAAGGAUGAUAAGAAUUACGGGAGAAGUAAGAUACGAUUUACAUAGGAGAUACGACGACGACGACGACGCCCGCGAAGGAGACAAUAGCGGCAACAAGCAACUGCUCUAAGACAAGUUCAGAUGAUGGGUGCGUACGCGCAAAGCCUGCUUUUUUAUAGCACACGGAUACAUCACACAUAAGUACAUCUCUCUCGCUAUAUAUCUGAACACAAAGUCGACCCUAGCCGGUCCAACUGAACCGUCUGCAGGUGCUUGGUAUGUGCAAGACCGGGAAAAGUGACAAGACUGCGAUAUGAAAAAAAUAAUUUAUACAAUGUAGCAAUGAAGCGUGGCCAUUGUAUGUCGUGCGGCUGUAGCACGCUUAUGGUCUCAGUUUGUUGGAUUUUACAACAAACUAUUUAGAAACAUUGGCGCGGAUGACGCUGAACUUCGCCGUGGGAAUGAGGUUCUACGGUGAAGCUUAGGUAGUAAUAUCAGCCCUAACUGGACAGGGCAGGUAUAGUAGGGAUGCGCGUUCUCGACCUUCAAUUUCAAGAUGAUACUAAGGAAUUGCGGCGCUAGAUUUACCAUUUUUUGAAAUGACCACUCAGUGACGAUCAGGUAGGGAUGAGGCUCGAUCAGUUUACUACUAAACACUAGCAUAUAUAUAUGUAUAUCGCUAAUUGAAUUUCCUUUAUGGAAAACGGAUAUACAAAUAGAGCGCGGGUGGCGAUACAACUAUUUAAUAUCGAGAUACGUACUAGUCAAUAAUUCUCAGGAAACUGUAUAGUAGAAAGGCACCGGAACGUGGAAAUGAAUAAACGAAGACUGAAAUGAAAGUCGAAAGCUGAAGCCGAGACAGACAAAGAGAAACAAGAGUUCAGCUAUAACAAAGUGUCUACUACUGGGUGUGCUGAGGACUCAGCAAUCUACACGAUUAGUGGGUUCGGUGGAGAUGAAAUAAAGGAGCUAACUGAAGAAAAAACCUGACGGUUGUUUAAGACGUUGUCUAACCGAAUGAGAACGACCGGCUACAAUAAGAAUCAUGAAGGAAAACACAUAAACGCAGUGUAUAGUGGAUUUCUAGGAACGAGACAGAAAAAAAUAAUGUCGCAGCCACAAAUGUCAAUAAGAUACUCACCAAUAUACCCGAACACAAAACAUUGUAAUUACAAACAAAAAAAUCUGUAGGAGACAUUUAAAAAAUCUAUAAAAUCAAUAAGGAUUGAAAAGCAAAGAUGAUACCACUACGCUGAUAGUUGGCGGCGGCGGCGGCGGCGGCGGCGGCGGCGGCGGCGACGACGACGACGACGACGACGGCGGCGGC
RNA transcript from Varroa destructor (honeybee mite), 7168 nucleotides. RefSeq lists it as uncharacterized. The record is from RefSeq and is a predicted model, not a curated record. NCBI's taxonomy places the organism in Eukaryota, Metazoa, Arthropoda, Arachnida, Mesostigmata, Varroidae.